RNAcentral lists this ribosomal RNA (303 nucleotides) under uncultured bacterium. RNAcentral describes it as "partial 16S ribosomal RNA". It matches the Rfam family "Bacterial small subunit ribosomal RNA", at positions 507 to 809 of the family's 1533-position model. The record is from RNAcentral.
AGCAGUCGCCACGGUAAUACGGAGGAUGCGAGCGUUAUCCGGAUUUAUUGGGUUUAAAGGGUGCGUAGGCGGCCUGUUAAGUCAGCGGUGAAAUCUAGGAGCUUAACUCCUAAAUUGCCAUUGAAACUGGCGGGCUUGAGUGUAGAUGAGGUAGGCGGAAUGCGUGGUGUAGCGGUGGAAUGCAUAGAUAUCACGCAGAACUCCAAUUGCGAAGGCAGCUUACUAAGGUACAACUGACGCUGAAGCACGAAAGCGUGGGUAUCAAACAGGAUUAGAUACCCCGGUAGUCCCUGUCUCUUAUAA